UCCUAUCCAUUCUACAUAGUCCCACUCUUAAUUGUAUAGCGUCCUUGCAAAUAUAGAAUUGGUAAAAACCAAUUUGACUAACCUUUGUAAUUUUUCUACCAUUUUAGGCUCGAAAGAUUGAAUUCCAACAUUUAUUGACAGUUCUAUUCAUUCCAGCUCUAAUAAUAAGUCCUCAUCCUCCUUUGACACUUCAACCUACUUUAUCCUCAAUUGGGUUGAUAAGUCCUAAUUGUACGCUCUUAUUUCAUGAACUUGAGCCUCCAACUGUAAAAUCUUGACAUCCUUUGAUUCCAAUUGGUACUAUUGUUGCUUCAACUUCUCUUCUAAUUCAUUACUUGUUGAAACUGGUGGGACAAACAUUUGUGAUCGAUCAAUAUUAUCUAAGUUAUCCUCCAAUUUCAUCACUUUUACUUUCAAGGUUCCAAUUUUUGUCCACAACUCUUUUGUUUCAGUCUUAUAUUGGUUAUUUAAUAUUCUCUUUUUUUGUUCCAAUAAUGCUACCUUCUUUUGUUCGAAUAUCAACUUACACUUUGCUUCUUCAUGUUCCAAAUACCAUAUUUUGUAAUUUUGGAAAAGU
RNAcentral lists this long non-coding RNA (577 nucleotides) under Physcomitrium patens. RNAcentral describes it as "long non-coding RNA (PPAT_LNC013897)". Lineage: Eukaryota; Viridiplantae; Streptophyta; Bryopsida; Funariales; Funariaceae. The record is from RNAcentral.